AGCCAUGCAUUGAGCACAUAGCGAACUAUUCUUUCGCCUUUUACUAAAGAAUACCGUGUGCUCGCUGCUCAAAGUGGCAUACGCCUAUUUUUGGAGAGUCCUUUCUUUAAUAGAAGGGCU
Molecule: non-coding RNA, 120 nt
Organism: Helianthus annuus (common sunflower)
Lineage: Eukaryota; Viridiplantae; Streptophyta; Magnoliopsida; Asterales; Asteraceae
Source: Rfam